Molecule: ribosomal RNA, 546 nt
Filed under: Triticum aestivum (bread wheat)
Lineage: Eukaryota; Viridiplantae; Streptophyta; Magnoliopsida; Poales; Poaceae
Description: partial small subunit ribosomal RNA
Source: RNAcentral
AUGUCUGCGCCGCCGCCCACCCCACCCGCGCUGCUGCCCAUCACCACCGCGCCGCUGCCCAUCACCACUGCGCUGCUGUCCUCCCCACCCGCGCCGCUGGUCCCCACCUCCGGCGCCCCCAUCGCCCAGCUGUCGGCGCCCUCCACUGCGCCGCCCGCCGCCGUCUACACCCCGGAGGAGGUCACCGGGGUCCUCCACGACCUCGUCACAGCGAUCCAGGAGAUCCGGCUAUACUUGGCCAGCCCCUACGGGCCUCUGCCACCCCCGCCGCCGGCUGCCGCCAUCGGUCCGCCGGCCCUGCCGUGGUACUUGCCGCACUCGGCAGCCUCCGCAGCGUUCGCUGGGCCGCUGCAGCCCCAGCUGCCGCUGCAGCCGCCGCCCGCCACCACCCUACAAUGGCCGCAGUGGCCGUCGCCGGCUCUCACGGCGCCCCCGCCCCCAUGCAGCAAGCCGCCCCCCGCCAGCACUCCACUCUGGCCUCAGUGGCCAUCGACGGCCCUCGCGGUUCCCGCCGCGCCCGUCGCCCACAUGCUGCAGCUGCUGUAG